AGAAAAUAGAUACCCGGGUAGUCCACGCCGUAAACGAUGAGCACUAGUUAUUGGAGGUAUUGACUCCUCCAGUGACGCAGCUAACGCAUUAAGUGCUCCGCCUGGGGAGUACGGUCGCAAGACUAAAACUCAAACAAAUUGACGGGGGCCCGCACAAGCGGUGGAUUAUGUGGUUUAAUUCGAAGCAACGCGCAGAACCUUACCUAGGCUUGAACUCCUACGAACCUGUUUUAAUCGACGGGGUGCCCGCAAGGGAAUGUAGUGAGAGGUGCUGCAUGGCUGUCGUCAGCUCGUGUUGUGAAAUGUUGGGUUAAGUCUCGCAACGAGCGCAACCCCUAUCGUCUGUUGCCAGCAUUAAGUUGGGCACUCUGACGAGACUGCCUGGGUUAACCAGGAGGAAGGUGGGGAUGACGUCAAGUCCUCAUGGCCCUUAUGUCUAGGGCUACACACGUAAUACAAUGGCGCGUACAGAGGGAAGCGAACUCGCAAGGGGAGCAAAUCUCAAAAAGCGCGCCUCAGUUCGGAUUGGAGUCUGC
Molecule: ribosomal RNA, 536 nt
Filed under: uncultured bacterium
Lineage: Bacteria
Description: bacterial SSU rRNA
Rfam family: Bacterial small subunit ribosomal RNA
Source: RNAcentral